GAUGCGCACACAAGCGUGAACCGUGUACAUGUAAUGCGCAGAGCGUUCUGCAGUGCAUGGCGGUCUAUGCAGCAUGCAGCAUCUCGAAACUGCCAUCGCUGAUUCAGCGCUGUGUUAGCUCAAUUACCUUGAAACGCAGUGAGGAAAGAAUAACAGGAGUGAGCAUUUGGUCACAUUUGGCGAGCGAACGGAAGUGACUAUAUAUAAGUGGACGGUCAAGAUGGCCGCUUAGGAACGAAUUGCAGCAUGACAGAGAUACUGUAUACAAUCGGUGAUCAUGCGCAAAAUAAGUGCAGAUUGGAACAAGUAAGGCAACAAGUGGCUGUACACGGCCCUGAAAAACGUCAAAAAAGUGGACGGUCAAGAUGGCUGCGAUGACGUAUUACUCUGUUCGCGAUAAGUCUACCCCCAUUACCGAUAUACUCACUCCUGUUAUUCUUUCCUCAUUGUUGAAACAAACAACAACUGUUUAUAUUAUAUUUACCAUGUAUAUGGAUGUGACUGUAACCGCUCAAAAAACAAAAAAGUUUAUCUAUGUAAUUGAUUUUAAUGAUCUUAUUUUACUAUUAUUUUAUAUGCUAUGGUUCAUUUAUUAUUACUUUACAUGCUAUAAUUUUAUUUUGUCUGUUUAGUCUUUUUGUUAUUUAAAUUCUUUUAUUCGCUUACGUGAGAUUUGUAUACAGAAUGGAUACAAAUCGAUAUUUCUUGUCAAAAAAUAAGCAUCUUUUUCCUU
Long non-coding RNA from Formica exsecta, 733 nucleotides. RefSeq lists it as uncharacterized. The record is from RefSeq and is a predicted model, not a curated record. The transcript has 2 exons. NCBI's taxonomy places the organism in Eukaryota, Metazoa, Arthropoda, Insecta, Hymenoptera, Formicidae.